ACAAUGAAUGAUUGUCUUUCUUAUUCUAAACUCUAUUUUGCCAGGAAUUGAGCUAUUCUACCUUUAUUUUGUUUCUGAUUACAUCCAAUUUCCUCUGUCUGAAGAACCGCCUGAAACAUUUCUCACAGAGAACGUGGUCCCAAUCCGGACCCCAGAGAAAGAUCUUGGAUCUCAUGCAAGACAGAAUUCAGGAGCAUCCAGCUCCCAUGCAGCUGCCUGGAGAGGCUCACAUCAAAAAGGGGAGGCCCUACAUCAGUAG
RNAcentral lists this long non-coding RNA (259 nucleotides) under Callithrix jacchus (white-tufted-ear marmoset). RNAcentral's name for it is "lncRNA (ENSCJAG00000067077.2)". The record is from RNAcentral. Lineage: Eukaryota; Metazoa; Chordata; Mammalia; Primates; Cebidae.